RNAcentral lists this ribosomal RNA (253 nucleotides) under uncultured bacterium. RNAcentral describes it as "partial 16S ribosomal RNA". It matches the Rfam family "Bacterial small subunit ribosomal RNA", at positions 524 to 776 of the family's 1533-position model. The record is from RNAcentral.
UACAGAGGAUGCAAGCGUUAUCCGGAAUGAUUGGGCGUAAAGCGUCCGCAGGUGGCAAUGUAAGUCUGCUGUCAAAGCGUCUGGCUCAACCAGAUAAAGGCAGUGGAAACUACAUAGCUAGAGUAAGGUAGGGGUAGAGGGAAUUCCUGGUGUAGCGGUGAAAUGCGUAGAGAUCAGGAAGAACACCGGUGGCGAAAGCGCUCUGCUGGACCUUAACUGACACUGAGGGACGAAAGCUAGGGGAGCGAAUGGG